AGCCAGAUUUCCUAGCUGCAAAUGGGUGCUAAAAAGUCCCAACAGAAAGAUGGAGGAAAAAAAGGUGACUCCAACUGCAAUGCCAAAGAAUAAAGAGCCACUGCUUUUGUCCACCAAUCCAUCAUCCACUCUGGGGAAAGCCAGCUGCCAUAUUUUGAACAGCCCUAUGGAGACAGCUUACAACAGACAACUUAGUGAGAAAUGGAGGUCUCCAGAUAACAACCUGAGAAAAACUGAGGCUCAGCCAGAAAAUAAUAGAAAGGAAAGACUGCAGAGGGACUUGGUGCCAGAAGGCUUCAGAGACAGCUGUCCCUGCAGCACGUGGAUCCCUCCUUCCCCAGGCGUGACUGCCUUUCCUGGCAGGUACUCCAAGCCACCAACGGAACAAAGAAGAAACAAAGCCACAGCAACCAUUCAAACCAGUAACUGGAGAUUUGAGACCUGGCAGCUUGAAAGCUUCCAGUGAAAACUUCUGAAGGCUGUCCCUUGGGGCAAGUAGAUUAAUUGUUAUUUGGGUAAGAAGAGAG
RNAcentral lists this long non-coding RNA (527 nucleotides) under Mustela putorius furo (domestic ferret). Its description in RNAcentral is "lncRNA (ENSMPUG00000024604.1)". Lineage: Eukaryota; Metazoa; Chordata; Mammalia; Carnivora; Mustelidae. The record is from RNAcentral.